Molecule: transfer RNA, 76 nt
Filed under: Armatimonadota bacterium
Lineage: Bacteria; Bacillati; Armatimonadota
Description: tRNA-Asp
Rfam family: tRNA
About the family: Transfer RNA (tRNA) molecules are approximately 80 nucleotides in length. Their secondary structure includes four short double-helical elements and three loops (D, anti-codon, and T loops).
Source: RNAcentral
GGACCAGUGGCGCAGCGGUUAGCGUGCCUGACUGUCACUCAGGAGGUCGCGGGUUCGAGUCCCGUCUGGUCCGCCA